CGCAGGCUGCAACCCGCCCUGCGUGAAGUCGGAAUCGCUAGUAAUCGCGGAUCAGCAUGCCGCGGUGAAUACGUUCCCGGGCCUUGUACACACCGCCCGUCACACCAUGAGAGUCGGGAACACCCGAAGUCCGUAGCCUAACCGCAAGGGGGGCGCGGCCGAAGGUGGGUUCGAUAAUUGGGGUGAAGUCGUAACAAGGUACC
RNAcentral lists this ribosomal RNA (203 nucleotides) under uncultured bacterium. RNAcentral's name for it is "partial 16S ribosomal RNA". It matches the Rfam family "Bacterial small subunit ribosomal RNA", at positions 1299 to 1500 of the family's 1533-position model. The record is from RNAcentral.